This 806-nucleotide ribosomal RNA is filed under the name Lactiplantibacillus plantarum. RNAcentral describes it as "bacterial SSU rRNA". It matches the Rfam family "Bacterial small subunit ribosomal RNA", at positions 57 to 834 of the family's 1533-position model. The record is from RNAcentral. Lineage: Bacteria; Bacillati; Bacillota; Bacilli; Lactobacillales; Lactobacillaceae.
GCAGUCGACGACUCUGGUAUUGAUUGGUGCUUGCAUCAUGAUUUACAUUUGAGUGAGUGGCGAACUGGUGAGUAACACGUGGGAAACCUGCCCAGAAGCGGGGGAUAACACCUGGAAACAGAUGCUAAUACCGCAUAACAACUUGGACCGCAUGGUCCGAGUUUGAAAGAUGGCUUCGGCUAUCACUUUUGGAUGGUCCCGCGGCGUAUUAGCUAGAUGGUGGGGUAACGGCUCACCAUGGCAAUGAUACGUAGCCGACCUGAGAGGGUAAUCGGCCACAUUGGGACUGAGACACGGCCCAAACUCCUACGGGAGGCAGCAGUAGGGAAUCUUCCACAAUGGACGAAAGUCUGAUGGAGCAACGCCGCGUGAGUGAAGAAGGGUUUCGGCUCGUAAAACUCUGUUGUUAAAGAAGAACAUAUCUGAGAGUAACUGUUCAGGUAUUGACGGUAUUUAACCAGAAAGCCACGGCUAACUACGUGCCAGCAGCCGCGGUAAUACGUAGGUGGCAAGCGUUGUCCGGAUUUAUUGGGCGUAAAGCGAGCGCAGGCGGUUUUUUAAGUCUGAUGUGAAAGCCUUCGGCUCAACCGAAGAAGUGCAUCGGACACUGGGAAACUUGAGUGCAGAAGAGGACAGUGGAACUCCAUGUGUAGCGGUGAAAUGCGUAGAUAUAUGGAAGAACACCAGUGGCGAAAGCGGCUGUCUGGUCUGUAACUGACGCUGAGGCUCGAAAGUAUGGGUAGCAACAGGAUUAGAUACCCUGGUAGUCCAUACCGUAACGAUGAUGCUAGUGUUGAGGUUUCGCC